GUGGACGUGAACAUGAUGGCUCCCUUUGUGCUCUCCCAGACCAAGCUGGGCCAAAUCUCUCUUGACCUGCAGAACUGCCAGCCAGUCUUCACUAGGAUCCACAUGCGAGCAAGCCUGCUCUCUGCAGUGAUGGAGACCAUGUUGAAAUGGAUGCUGGAUACCUCCCUACCCAACAUGGACCGCCUUUGUGAACAACCUGAGGGCCCUGCAGGCUGCGGGGAGAGUCACGUGGAGCCUGAGGGUGGCACAAGGAAGGCAGAGAAGAAGCAAGUGGAGCUGGCCUUCAGGGUUCCUGAGUCUCCACAGGCCCAGGGCACCUGUUCUUGGUCCAGCAAUAAAUGCUCAGAUGGAUGGCGAGGACUUGGGUCACCACAGGAUCCACUAUGGGAGGCUCCUGGGAAAUAUCACCAUCACGACAUUCAUUCUUUCAGGCAGUAAGCAUAGCCAGGUCCCAUUUGAUAUGAAUCUGACCUGCAAAUCUGCAACAGUGUCCUGCAACAUAUUAAGUUUUACAUGGUGACCAGAAAGUUAAAUAAAACAUCCCCUCCCCCAACCUUUUCCAUUGUUAAGAACACACACCUAACUUGCUCAAAUCCCUCCCUUCUCAGGAAGAAUAAAGGUCCCUUCUGUAAUUCCACACUCCCUCCACCAACCUCCUUCCCUCUCUCGUCCCCUUCGCAGCCAAAGUUCCUUAGAGCUGUGCUUCUCCACCUUGAACACACAAAUGAGCCACCUGGGCUCUUGUUAAG
This is a long non-coding RNA of Pan paniscus (pygmy chimpanzee), 749 nucleotides long. Lineage: Eukaryota; Metazoa; Chordata; Mammalia; Primates; Hominidae. The record is from Ensembl.